AGCAGCCGCGGUAAUUCCAGCUCCAAUAGCGUAUAUUAAAGUUGCUGCAGUUAAAAAGCUCGUAGUUGAAUUUCGGGACCAUCAUGUCGGUCGUGCCUAGGUACGUACUGGUAUUGUUGGUUUCUCCCUCCUGACGAACCAUGAUGUCAUUUAUUUGGUGUUGUGGGGAAUCAGGACUGUUACUUUGAAAAAAUUGGAGUGUUUAAAGCAGGCUCACGCUUGAAUACAUUAGCAUGGAAUAAUGAAAUAGGACGUUUGAUUCUAUUUUGUUGGUUUCUAGGAUCGACGUAAUGAUUAAUAGGGAUAGUUGGGGGCAUUAGUAUUCAAUUGUCAGAGGUGAAAUUCUUGGAUUUAUUGAAGACUAACUACUGCGAAAGCAUUUGCCAAGGAUGUUUUCAUUAAUCAAGAACGAAAGUUAGGGGAUCGAAGACGAUCAGAUACCGUCGUAGUCUUAACCAUAAACUAUGCCGAUUAGGGAUCGGAUGAUGUUAAUUUUUUAAUGACUCAUUCGGCGCCUUACG
RNAcentral lists this ribosomal RNA (521 nucleotides) under uncultured Glomus. RNAcentral's name for it is "SSU rRNA". It matches the Rfam family "Eukaryotic small subunit ribosomal RNA", at positions 569 to 1092 of the family's 1831-position model. The record is from RNAcentral. Lineage: Eukaryota; Fungi; Glomeromycota; Glomeromycetes; Glomerales; Glomeraceae.